RNAcentral lists this small nuclear RNA (296 nucleotides) under Neotoma lepida (desert woodrat). RNAcentral's name for it is "7SK RNA". It matches the Rfam family "7SK RNA". From Rfam's summary of the family: 7SK was discovered as an abundant small nuclear RNA in the mid-70s but a possible function has only recently been suggested. Two independent studies have found that 7SK RNA binds the CDK9/cyclin T complex (known as elongation factor P-TEFb). Lineage: Eukaryota; Metazoa; Chordata; Mammalia; Rodentia; Cricetidae. The record is from Rfam by way of RNAcentral.
AGGUAGAAGGGCAAUCUGGAUGUUACAUGUCUCUCCAUUUAAUCACCAGAGUUGAUUCAGUUGAAUUGGCUGGCUAGACAAGUGUCUCCUCCCACCCUACCACUUGUAUGUGCCUGGUGAAGAAGGUCAUGUUCCCAAUAGAAGAGGGCUGCUCUCAAACAUUUAUGAGUAGCUGCAUUCCCUGCUUGGACCUCCAAAUAAUGGCUGAGAUAAUUAUUCUGUGCUUUCUUCUCAAAGUGUUUUGUUUUACUUUACAUGUUUUGGAUCUAUUAUCUAUUGGAAAUUUAUGUUUGAGU